Molecule: ribosomal RNA, 253 nt
Filed under: uncultured bacterium
Lineage: Bacteria
Description: partial 16S ribosomal RNA
Rfam family: Bacterial small subunit ribosomal RNA
Source: RNAcentral
UACAGAGGGGGCAAGCGUUGUUCGUAAUUACUGGGCGUAAAGGGCGCGUAGGCGGCCUUCUAAGUCGAACGUGAAAUCCCCGGGCUCAACCCGGGAACUGCGUCCGAUACUGGAAGGCUUGAAUCCGGGAGAGGGAUGUGGAAUUCCAGGUGUAGCGGUGAAAUGCGUAGAUAUCUGGAGGAACACCGGUGGCGAAGGCGACAUCCUGGACCGGUAUUGACGCUGAGGCGCGAAAGCCAGGGGAGCAAACGGG